AGUUAAUGAACUUGAACAAGUAUAUAUUUUGAAAAUAUAAAAUAGAUUAAUAUCUAUUAACUU
RNAcentral lists this transfer RNA (63 nucleotides) under Platerodrilus sp. MNCN/DNA:86739. Its description in RNAcentral is "tRNA-Ser". Lineage: Eukaryota; Metazoa; Arthropoda; Insecta; Coleoptera; Lycidae. The record is from RNAcentral.